RNAcentral lists this ribosomal RNA (301 nucleotides) under uncultured bacterium. RNAcentral describes it as "partial 16S ribosomal RNA". It matches the Rfam family "Bacterial small subunit ribosomal RNA", at positions 509 to 807 of the family's 1533-position model. The record is from RNAcentral.
CAGCAGCCGCGGGAAUACGGAGGGUGCAAGCGUUAAUCGGAAUUACUGGGCGUAAAGCGCACGCAGGCGGUCUGACAAGUCAGAUGUGAAAUCCCCGGGCUUAACCUGGGAACUGCAUUUGAAACUGUCAGGCUGGAGUCUUGUAGAGGGGGGUGGAAUUCCAGGUGUAGCGGUGAAAUGCGUAGAGAUCUGGAGGAAUACCGGUGGCGAAGGCGGCCCCCUGGACAAAGACUGACGCUCAGAUGCGAAAGCGUGGGGAGCAAACAGGAUUAGAUACCCGUGUAGUCCCUGUCUCUUAUAC